Long non-coding RNA from Solanum stenotomum, 562 nucleotides. RefSeq lists it as uncharacterized. Lineage: Eukaryota; Viridiplantae; Streptophyta; Magnoliopsida; Solanales; Solanaceae. The transcript has 2 exons. The record is from RefSeq and is a predicted model, not a curated record.
AUGAGACAAUCCUAUGCCUUAAUACUUCUAGCUAAGUUUCUAAGUAGUACUGCUUGGUGAGAUUGCCAAUUACUUUGUAUGUGUAUUGUUAAAAACAGAUCCAACUUGAAAAAGGAUAUGGAACUUUUGAACAUUUGAUUUGUAAAUUUUCAUGUAUAUUGAUAUUGGAGACAUAUCUUUUGAUGGUCAUUCACUGGUCAUUCUACAUCCAGGCUCCAGCCCACUUCAGUUCCUUCUGUUUUACUAUUCGCCUCAUGACGUUUGCUCUACCUUCUCUUUACAGGUCUAGUUCCUGGUGAUUUCAUACAUGUCGUAGGAGAUGCUCAUGUUUAUCGCAAUCAUGUCAGACCUCUGCAAGACCAGCUUCAGAAGUUGCCUAGACCUUUCCCAGUGCUGAAGAUCAAUCCGCAGAAAAAGGACAUAGAUUCCUUUGUUGCUGCUGACUUUGAGCUUACCGGCUAUGAUCCUCACCAAAGAAUUGAAAUGAAAAUGGCAAUAUGAAGUUCCAUGCAGUUAGUCCUGGAAUUCCUCUGCUCUUAGGAUAUGUGGCUCAUAUUUUGAG